GGGCACUUGGCACAGUGGUAGCGCGCUUGCUUCGCAUUUCGAGCAUUGCAUGAGGUCGAGAGUUCAAUCCUCUCAGUGUCCA
Exidia glandulosa HHB12029 is the source of this 82-nucleotide transfer RNA. It matches the Rfam family "tRNA". Rfam says of the family: Transfer RNA (tRNA) molecules are approximately 80 nucleotides in length. The record is from Rfam. Lineage: Eukaryota; Fungi; Basidiomycota; Agaricomycetes; Auriculariales; Exidiaceae.